AUCAAGGUAACGUCACGUGCAUUAGUCACCCAUCUGGAGAAAUGAUCUCUCUAAUUUACCCCCAAUAUUAAUAUUACUGGAGUCCGGUCGCGCUACCACCACCGGCCAUCAAAGGAAGAUAUCUCUUCCACAACGUCGCGCGCAUCAACUAGUCAUCUCCAGCAUCAACUACGUCGCGUGCAUUAGUCACCUGCGCAUGCAAUCAUGAACUCGAUGAGUCACGCAACAAGGAUACGCCUCCUUCACCCUGCACACAAUGAAUUACCUGCGCAUGCAAUCAUGAACUCGAUUAGUCACCUGCGCAUGCAAUCAUGAACUCGCGCGCAUCAACUAGUCAUCUCCUAUAUGUGACACAAGUUAGCUUCAAACAAGGUGUUUAAGCUACUAGCGUGCUAGGGAAGCGAGGCAAUAAUAAGCUUCUAGGAGCCUGUGACCUUAGGACAGUGUCCACAUACCUGCUCCAGGGCCAUAAUUCUCUGUAGAUCUUGUACUGGCACCUGUAGUCAGUAAGAUCUACAGUUAACCGUCUAGAAGUCUUAAGACAAUAUUUAAUUCGGUCUGUAAUAAUUAAGAAUCUGAGUUGUCGGAACAGUUCCCAUAUUGUUUAGUUGAUUUCUAUGAUAACUUGUUAUUAUUUGGGACACGGUAUGGGACGUGU
RNAcentral lists this long non-coding RNA (658 nucleotides) under Helianthus annuus (common sunflower). RNAcentral's name for it is "hypothetical non coding rna". The record is from RNAcentral. Lineage: Eukaryota; Viridiplantae; Streptophyta; Magnoliopsida; Asterales; Asteraceae.